Molecule: ribosomal RNA, 565 nt
Filed under: Kribbella sp. 340A03
Lineage: Bacteria; Bacillati; Actinomycetota; Actinomycetes; Propionibacteriales; Kribbellaceae
Description: bacterial SSU rRNA
Rfam family: Bacterial small subunit ribosomal RNA
Source: RNAcentral
GAGCGGCGAACGGGUGAGUAACACGUGAGCAACCUACCCUUCACUUCGGGAUAAGCCUCGGAAACGGGGUCUAAUACCGGAUAUCACCUNANUCUUCAUGACUUGGGGUUGAAAGUUCUGGCGGUGGGGGAUGGGCUCGCGGCCUAUCAGCUUGUUGGUGGGGUAAUGGCCUACCAAGGCGUCGACGGGUAGCCGGCCUGAGAGGGCGACCGGCCACACUGGGACUGAGACACGGCCCAGACUCCUACGGGAGGCAGCAGUGGGGAAUAUUGCGCAAUGGACGGAAGUCUGACGCAGCAACGCCGCGUGAGGGAUGACGGCCUUCGGGUUGUAAACCUCUUUCAGCAGGGACGAAGCGAGAGUGACGGUACCUGCAGAAGAAGGACCGGCCAACUACGUGCCAGCAGCCGCGGUAAUACGUAGGGUCCGAGCGUUGUCCGGAAUUAUUGGGCGUAAAGGGCUCGUAGGCGGUUCGUCGCGUCGGGAGUGAAAACUCGGAGCUCAACUCCGAGCCUGCUUCCGAUACGGGCAGACUAGAGGUAGNCAGGGGAAGANCGGAACUCCU